Molecule: ribosomal RNA, 541 nt
Filed under: Vibrio sp. FG1.1
Lineage: Bacteria; Pseudomonadati; Pseudomonadota; Gammaproteobacteria; Vibrionales; Vibrionaceae
Description: bacterial SSU rRNA
Rfam family: Bacterial small subunit ribosomal RNA
Source: RNAcentral
AACGCGAAGAACCUUACCUUCUUUUGACAUCCAGAGAACUUUCCAGAGAAGGAUUGGUGCCUUUGGGAACUUUGAGACCGGUGGUGCAUGGCUGUUGUCAGGUUGUGUUGUGAAAUGUUGGGUUAAGUUCCGCAACGAGCGCAACCCUUAUCCUUGUUUGCCAGCGAGUAAAGUUGGGAACUUCAGGGAGGCUGCCGGUGAUAAACCGGAGGAAGGUGGGGGAGACGUCAAGUCAUCCUGGCCCUUACGAGUAGGGGUACCCCCGUGGUACAAUGGGGCAUACCGAGGGCGGCCAACCUGGGAAGGUGAGCGAAUUCCCAAAAAUGCGUUGUAGUCCGGAUUGGAGUUUGCAACUUGGCUCCCUGAAGUUGGAAUCGGUUGUAAUUGUGGAUCAGAAUGCCCCGGUGAAUACGUUUCCGGGCCUUGUACCCCCCGCCCGUCCCCCCCAGGGAGUGGGGCGCAAAAGAAGUUGGUAGUUUAACCUUUGGGGGGACGGUUACCCCUUUGUGGUUCCUGAAUGGGGUGAAGUCGUAACAAGGUA